This 229-nucleotide ribosomal RNA is filed under the name uncultured bacterium. Its description in RNAcentral is "partial 16S ribosomal RNA". It matches the Rfam family "Bacterial small subunit ribosomal RNA", at positions 568 to 796 of the family's 1533-position model. The record is from RNAcentral.
UGCGCAGGCGGACUUUUAAGUCAGUGGUGAAAUCCCGAGGCUCAACCUCGGAACUGCCAUUGAUACUGGAAGUCUUGAAUUUGGUUGAAGUGGGCGGAAUGUAGCAUGUAGCGGUGAAAUGCUUAGAUAUGCUACAGAACACCGAUCGCGAAGGCAGCUCACUAAGCCAAUAUUGACGCUCAGGCACGAAAGCGUGGGGAGCGAACAGGAUUAGAUACCCUGGUAGUCC